UAGCAUAUCAAUAAGCGGAGGAAAAGAAACCAACCGGGAUUGCCUCAGUAACGGCGAGUGAAGCGGCAAAAGCUCAAAUUUGAAAUCUGCGUAAGCCGAGUUGUAAUUUGAAGAUGGCUACUUUGGUAAUGGCUCUUGUCUAUGUUCCUUGGAACAGGACGUCACAGAGGGUGAGAAUCCCGUGCGAUGAGAUGUCCAUUACCGUGUAAAGUGCUUUCGAAGAGUCGAGUUGUUUGGGAAUGCAGCUCUAAGUGGGUGGUAAAUUCCAUCUAAAGCUAAAUAUUGGCGAGAGACCGAUAGCGAACAAGUACAGUGAUGGAAAGAUGAAAAGAACUUUGAAAAGAGAGUGAAAAAGUACGUGAAAUUGUUGAAAGGGAAGGGCUUGAGAUCAGACUUGGUAUUUUGUAUGGCUUGCUUUCGGGCGGGUCCUCUGCAGUUUACUGGGCCAGCAUCGGUUUGGGUGGCAGGAUAAUAGCAUAGGAAUGUGGCUCUACUUCGGUGGAGUGUUAUAGCCUUUGUUGAUACUGCCUGCCUAGACCGAGGACUGCGUCUUUUGACUAGGAUGCUGGCAUAAUGAUCCUAAGCCGCCCGUCUUGAAACACGGACCAAGGAGUCUAACGUCUAUGCGAGUGUUUGGGUGUAAAACCCGUACGCGGAAUGAAAGUGAACGUAGAUGAGAGCCUUUUAGGCGCAUCAUCGACCGAUCCUGAUGUCUUCGGAUGGAUUUGAGUAAGAGCAUAGCUGUUGGGACCCGAAAGAUGGUGAACUAUGCCUGAAUAGGGUGAAGCCAGAGGAAACUCUGGUGGAGGCUCGUAGCGGUUCUGACGUGCAAAUCGAUCGUCGAAUUUGGGUAUAGGGGGCGAAAGACUAAUCGAACCAUCUAGUAGCUGGUUCCUGCGA
This 900-nucleotide ribosomal RNA is filed under the name Fermentozyma sake. RNAcentral describes it as "LSU rRNA". It matches the Rfam family "Eukaryotic large subunit ribosomal RNA", at positions 36 to 963 of the family's 3401-position model. Lineage: Eukaryota; Fungi; Ascomycota; Pichiomycetes; Serinales; Debaryomycetaceae. The record is from RNAcentral.